This 1754-nucleotide long non-coding RNA is filed under the name Equus caballus (horse). RNAcentral's name for it is "lncRNA (ENSECAG00000045346.1)". Lineage: Eukaryota; Metazoa; Chordata; Mammalia; Perissodactyla; Equidae. The record is from RNAcentral.
GGGAGACCAGAACUACUUUGUUGCCUGACUUUGUUUCAAAGACGUCCUACAGGCUCUGCCGAACUUUCUUAGACGGAACCACUGUCUAGGGUACUCCCUCCCAUCUUCCCCUCUCUGCCCCACUGGGGAUGAGACUCACGUCGAGGUCUGACGGCUCUCCCAGCCUCUCAUAGAUCCCACCUCCCUUUUUACCUCCCACCCUUUUCACGCAGGCAUGUCCCCCGAGAAAAAAAUCCUUGCAAGUUUAAUCUGUUCUUGAGGCCCCAACCCCCUCUGUUCCCAGUCGUGGCUGUCCCAGGUCCUGGUCCUGGUCGACAGUGGCGGACCACUGAGCCACACCUGUCCCUUUCCCAGGCCCGGCCCCCGCCUUAGGGCUGCAUCUCUCCGCGUGUCAGCUCAUCAAACCUGCACAUCUGAACUAUCGCUCCUGAUGACAAAGUUAGAUUGGGGGCCAGUGGGGUCGUUGCAGGUGUGGACCAGGCAGGAGAGGCUUGUUUAGCAUCACUAUGGAAACCCCAGGCACCCAUCUUGGAAAGGUGUUUUAAAAUGGCCGGGUCAGACGCUCAAGGGGCGGAGUCAGUAGAGAGGGGGCAGGGAAAUUCUCUGCCCCUCCCCCCGUGCUUCCGGGCAGGACUGGUGCGGAGCUCUUCAUUUCUCCUCACGCCAGCAGCAGCAGGUCCAGGGCCGUCCCGACUCCCGGAGAGAGAGCUCGGAGUUCAGGGGCUUGCGGGCUUCGACCCGAUGGUGUGAAGUGAGAAUGUCAACUUUUCUGAGCCCCAAUUUGUUUUUCUUCUGCACACUUGGGACAUAUCCUGAGUGACGCUGGACAGAUGCAGGUGGGAUGGGGUGAGAGGAUGGCAAGAGUUGGAAGGAAGGACCGUGGCUGGGUGGGUCCCUCUGGGACAGAGUAGGGCAGGCACAGCUCUAGGGACAUUUCACAGGAAGGAAUGCGGGGGGUGGGCUGCCAGGACGUCACAAGGGUCCCAUUGUGACGCCCCCCCCCCCCAGCAAAGCUGGGGAUUGGCCCAAGGAGCGGAGGGGGAGGGGCAGAUAGGAGGCUGGUUGCCAGGGCCUGAGCCCAACAGGGAGACGACGGGACAGAGUGGUGGCACUCUGGCUCCAGCUCCUCCUCCAGGCCCCUUCAUCCUGACCCUUUCACAGCCUCCUCUAACCAGGACUCCGACUUCCCUCUCCGUCUCCUCUAUCCGGCUCCAGGCGGGCCCCUCCAGGCCCAGCAGAAGCACGGGUCUGUGGACAGGGUGCGGCUGGCAAAGGAUCAGUGGACAGGGUGGGGCUGGCUGCACCACGCGAAUGAGACCUGCCAUAGGGAGACCCGACGCAGGGGCAGAGCGAAGAUGGGGCCUGCACAAAUCUGGCUCCGAUGAGGACUCACCAACCAUCCGGCGUCCUCUCCUGGGUCUCUGGCCCCACGGCCCCACGCUCGGGCUCGUUUUUGACUUACCUGCUGAUCAGUCCCUGGAUAUUCACAUCUGCCUGGGGUCACCAAGUCAAGAUGACCGUGGUGGGGAUGGAACUCUGAGUUUCCUGGACCACAGUGCAGGUGAAAAAUGUACCUUAUCAGAGCGAAAAGGAAUGGUCUUAUCACAAGAUCAUUUUGAAAAUGGGCCUCAGGGGACACAUGUCCCUUAAUCCAGUCUGUGAGGUCCUACAACACCAUACUCUGCAAAUUCUAGCAGAGAGGUUGCAGUGAUUUGGGAGAGGCCUCAAAAUCAUGACUGCACCUCCUGGCACAG